Molecule: ribosomal RNA, 512 nt
Filed under: Myrmeleon carolinus
Lineage: Eukaryota; Metazoa; Arthropoda; Insecta; Neuroptera; Myrmeleontidae
Description: partial 16S ribosomal RNA
Rfam family: Bacterial large subunit ribosomal RNA
Source: RNAcentral
CCUUCCUGUUUAACAAAAACAUGUCUUUUUGAUUAUAAUAUUAAGUCUGGCCUGCCCACUGAAAUUUUCAAGGGCCGCAGUAUACUGACUGUGCAAAGGUAGCAUAAUCAUUUGCCUUUUAAUUAAAGGCUAGAAUGAAUGGUUGAACGAAAUACAAACUGUCUCGUUAUUAAAGUUUAAUAAUUUAGCUUUCUAGUUAAAAGGCUGGAAUGUUGUUAAAGGACGAGAAGACCCUAUAGAACUUUAUAAUGAUUGAUUUAUUAGAUUAUAGAAUAAAAUUAUCAUUAAAUUAUAAUUUAUUUUGUUGGGGUGACAUAAAGAUUAAAUUAACUCUUUUUAAUAUUAUACAUUGAUUAAUGAAUAUUUGAUCCAUUUUUAGUGAUUAUUAGAAUAAGUUACCUUAGGGAUAACAGCGUAAUUUUAUUGGAGAGUUCAUAUCGAUAAUAAAGUUUGCGACCUCGAUGUUGAAUUAAAGAAAUUUUAGAGCGCAGAAGUUUUAAGAAACUAGGUCC